AACGCACAUUGCGCCCUUUGGCAUUCCGAAGGGCAUGCCUGUCUGAGCCUCAACAAGUCAAUCAAACUUACGUUUGGUAAUGGGGGAUGAGGUGCAAGCUUCACCCCUUCAAAAAAUUGGCGGUUCUCAAUCAGCUUGUAAAACGUAAUAAUUUUCGCUCGUUAAAGCAACUGGUUUAGUAGCCUGCCAACCAAAAGUCAUUGACACUUCAGUUACUUGAGCUCAGAUCAGGUAGGGCUACCCCCUGAACUUAA
RNAcentral lists this unclassified non-coding RNA (254 nucleotides) under uncultured Ascomycota. RNAcentral describes it as "sequence contains 5.8S rRNA gene, ITS2, 28S rRNA gene". Lineage: Eukaryota; Fungi; Ascomycota. The record is from RNAcentral.